Molecule: ribosomal RNA, 1372 nt
Filed under: uncultured bacterium
Lineage: Bacteria
Description: bacterial SSU rRNA
Rfam family: Bacterial small subunit ribosomal RNA
Source: RNAcentral
GAUGAACGCUGGCGGCGUGCCUAAUACAUGCAAGUCGAGCGAACGGACGAGAAGCUUGCUUCUCUGAUGUUAGCGGCGGACGGGUGAGUAACACGUGGAUAACCUACCUAUAAGACUGGGAUAACUUCGGGAAACCGGAGCUAAUACCGGAUAAUAUUUUGAACCGCAUGGUUCAAAAGUGAAAGACGGUCUUGCUGUCACUUAUAGAUGGAUCCGCGCUGCAUUAGCUAGUUGGUAAGGUAACGGCUUACCAAGGCAACGAUGCAUAGCCGACCUGAGAGGGUGAUCGGCCACACUGGAACUGAGACACGGUCCAGACUCCUACGGGAGGCAGCAGUAGGGAAUCUUCCGCAAUGGGCGAAAGCCUGACGGAGCAACGCCGCGUGAGUGAUGAAGGUCUUCGGAUCGUAAAACUCUGUUAUUAGGGAAGAACAUAUGUGUAAGUAACUGUGCACAUCUUGACGGUACCUAAUCAGAAAGCCACGGCUAACUACGUGCCAGCAGCCGCGGUAAUACGUAGGUGGCAAGCGUUAUCCGGAAUUAUUGGGCGUAAAGCGCGCGUAGGCGGUUUUUUAAGUCUGAUGUGAAAGCCCACGGCUCAACCGUGGAGGGUCAUUGGAAGCUGGAAAACUUGAGUGCAGAAGAGGAAAGUGGAAUUCCAUGUGUAGCGGUGAAAUGCGCAGAGAUAUGGAGGAACACCAGUGGCGAAGGCGACUUUCUGGUCUGUAACUGACGCUGAUGUGCGAAAGCGUGGGGAUCAAACAGGAUUAGAUACCCUGGUAGUCCACGCCGUAAACGAUGAGUGCUAAGUGUUAGGGGGUUUCCGCCCCUUAGUGCUGCAGCUAACGCAUUAAGCACUCCGCCUGGGGAGUACGACCGCAAGGUUGAAACUCAAAGGAAUUGACGGGGACCCGCACAAGCGGUGGAGCAUGUGGUUUAAUUCGAAGCAACGCGGAGAACCUUACCAAAUCUUGACAUCCUUUGACAACUCUAGAGAUAGAGCUUUCCCCUUCGGGGGACAAAGUGACAGGUGGUGCAUGGUUGUCGUCAGCUCGUGUCGUGAGAUGUUGGGUUAAGUCCCGCAACGAGCGCAACCCUUAAGCUUAGUUGCCAUCAUUAAGUUGGGCACUCUAAGUUGACUGCCGGUGACAAACCGGAGGAAGGUGGGGAUGACGUCAAAUCAUCAUGCCCCUUAUGAUUUGGGCUACACACGUGCUACAAUGGACAAUACAAAGGGCAGCGAAACCGCGAGGUCAAGCAAAUCCCAUAAAGUUGUUCUCAGUUCGGAUUGUAGUCUGCAACUCGACUACAUGAAGCUGGAAUCGCUAGUAAUCGUAGAUCAGCAUGCUACGGUGAAUACGUUCCCGGGUCU